AUGGUGUUAAUUGAUAAUGCAAAUGCUACUAACCCUUGUUGUGAGCAUGUGCACCUUGUUGAGGAGAAUGCUAAGUUGAAGGAGCAGCUUGAGAAAGGCCUUGUGUCAUGCAUACAAGGUGAGAAGAACCUCAACGACCUUUUGAGAAACCAAAAGGAAGUUGUGGCCAAGGAAGGGAUUGGGUUCGCACCCAAGCCCAAGAACAAGAAGAAGAAUGACAAGACCAAACGACCUCCUCCUCUCAAGCAAACUUUUGUGAAGGAGGGAGAGGGUGCUUCCAAGGAUAAGAAGAACAAUGCGAAGGGUGACGGUGUCAAGAAGGGCAAUACCACCCCAUCCAACAAAGCCGGCGACUUUAAUCCUUCUUAUGUGUUAUGUCGUGCUAGUGAUGGGCAUGUUUAUGCCAAAUUUGUUGGUUCUCCUCAUGAGUAUAUUGAAUGGUCCAUUUGGGUUCCUAAGACCCUUGUUACUAACAUCAAAGGACCCAUUACAAAAUGGGUACCUAAAACCAAGCAUUGA
This 519-nucleotide ribosomal RNA is filed under the name Triticum aestivum (bread wheat). RNAcentral describes it as "partial small subunit ribosomal RNA". The record is from RNAcentral. Lineage: Eukaryota; Viridiplantae; Streptophyta; Magnoliopsida; Poales; Poaceae.